GUUAGUGUUAGAGUGAGUGUCAGUGUUAGAGUGAGUGUCAGAGUGAGUGAGAGUGUUAGAGUGUGUGUGAGUGUUAGAGUGAGUGUGUGUUAGAGUGUGUGUCUGCUAGUGAGUGUCAGUGAGUGUGUUACUGUGUGUGUCUUACUGAGUGUGUGUGUGUCUUAGUGAGUGUGUGUGUGUGUCUUAGUGAGUCUGUUUGAUGUCUGUUAGUGAG
Molecule: non-coding RNA, 214 nt
Organism: Pelobates cultripes (western spadefoot toad)
Lineage: Eukaryota; Metazoa; Chordata; Amphibia; Anura; Pelobatidae
Source: the annotation of a GenBank genome assembly